CGAAAGCCUGACGGAGCUACACCGCGUGAGGGAAGACGGCCUUUGGGCUGUAAACCUCUUUUCUCAGGGAAGAAGUUCUGACGGUACCUGAGGAAUCAGCCUCGGCUAACUCCGUGCCAGCAGCCGCGGUAAUACGGAGGAGGCAAGCGUUAUUCGGAAUUAUUGGGCGUAAAGCGUCCGCAGGGGGCUCAUCAAGUCUGCUGUCAAAGGUCGGAGCUCAACUCCGGUUCGGCAGUGGAAACUGGUGGGCUAGAGGGCGACAGGGGUAGAGGGAAUUCCCAGUGUAGCGGUGAAAUGCGUAGAUAUUGGGAAGAACACCGGUGGCGAAAGCGCUCUACUGGGCCGUGAUUGACCCUGAGGGACGAAAGCUAGGGGAGCG
Molecule: ribosomal RNA, 379 nt
Filed under: uncultured cyanobacterium
Lineage: Bacteria; Bacillati; Cyanobacteriota
Description: bacterial SSU rRNA
Rfam family: Bacterial small subunit ribosomal RNA
Source: RNAcentral